This 306-nucleotide ribosomal RNA is filed under the name Triticum aestivum (bread wheat). RNAcentral describes it as "partial small subunit ribosomal RNA". Lineage: Eukaryota; Viridiplantae; Streptophyta; Magnoliopsida; Poales; Poaceae. The record is from RNAcentral.
AUGACCUCGAGUUCUCGGACGAUCUCUGACAUGGAAGGCCUUGCGUCGGUCUCAUCCUGGCAGCACUUGGUUGCUAGCAAGAGGAACCUAUUGAUGCAGUCUGGAGGACACAGGCCCAUCCGGCUGUCGACGAUUUCAGAAAUAUUGCCUGAUUGGUACGCUUUGUUUACCUAUAACAUGCACAAAAUUAGUUACUUUACUGAACUGUUUGCGUUCCACUUAAAUUCAUGUGUGCUGAAUGAUGUUGUCACUUUCUCUAAAGCAAGUUCAAAAGAACAUGUUGAGCCACUGCCUGGUGCCCGCUGA